UUCACAAUGUAAGUCAUUCUAGCAUUUCCCACAUUCAUAUUAUAUAUGUCUAGAUUCAUUAAUAUAAAUAUGAAUGUGGGAAAUGCUAGAAUGACUUACAUUGUGAAACG
This 110-nucleotide unclassified non-coding RNA is filed under the name Oryza sativa (Asian cultivated rice). RNAcentral's name for it is "partial microRNA MIR472a-14 precursor". The record is from RNAcentral. Lineage: Eukaryota; Viridiplantae; Streptophyta; Magnoliopsida; Poales; Poaceae.